Molecule: long non-coding RNA, 732 nt
Organism: Polypterus senegalus (gray bichir)
Lineage: Eukaryota; Metazoa; Chordata; Cladistia; Polypteriformes; Polypteridae
Exons: 3
Source: RefSeq, a predicted model, not a curated record
CUUGUUCCCAGGACUACUCUUUGCACCGCUGAAUUAUUUAAACCGUUACUUCACUAGGGCACUCAAAGUUUGCUGAGGGAUGGCUUUUUCCUGCUUGUCAGAGGCCACCAAGCUGGAGGACUCCAGCUUUACUUGGCCAAAAAGGGAAAUGACCUGCCACCAAUUCAUCCCGGCUGUGACUAAUAAGAAAUAGACCAGUCCUGGCCCUAGUGAAUUUUUGGUGAGAGACAGGUGGGCAAGCUGCCUAGACUCAGAAUGUUAACACCAGAGAUUUCCACCAAUGCUGAAAAUGAGAAUCAUUUCUAAAAGAACAGUGAGGAUUUCAAAGCAAACUGCAGCAGAUAGUCAGAAUUAAUAUCCGGUUUGGUGACAAAGCUGCUUGAACUGCUUUUUUUCUUUUGGCUCUACAAUCCUUAUCGUGAUUUUGGGUUGGUGACAGAAUAGGUAUCAUGUCUGCAAAUGCAUUUCUGGUGAACAAAGAGAGAUGCCUUUCUAUCAGUGAGCUUCUUUUGAGUUGGUUCUUAAGGAGUAAAUAAAUCAAAGGUAUUUAUUUUGCUAAGUGUAUCGGCAAAUAUGGUCUUGGGUUAAUAUUAGGAUUAACUAUAUGUUAGUAUAUAUUUGUUUUUUGGGAAAACUCUGGUAAAUACCAAAUAUAAUUAAACAUAGCUAUCAAAAUGACCAAAAUCAAGUACAAUAUAAUAAAAGCAAGCUUACAAAAAGGUCAAUAUAUUG